RNAcentral lists this long non-coding RNA (538 nucleotides) under Amborella trichopoda. RNAcentral describes it as "long non-coding RNA (ATRI_LNC003132)". The record is from RNAcentral. Lineage: Eukaryota; Viridiplantae; Streptophyta; Magnoliopsida; Amborellales; Amborellaceae.
UUAAUGGUAAGGAAAUAGAAAAAGAUUAUGAUUUCUGUAAAAAAAUAAACGUGGUAAAAGGUGAAAAAUCUAUUACGUCCUUGAAGAGUAAUUGGGAGAAAUCUUUAAAAUCUAUUACGUCAGUGAAGAGUAAUUGGGAGAAAUCUUUUAGGCAUGUCUCUCGGUGAAUUUCGCUACCCAAAAAUCCGUGAUUCACUUACUAAUAAGCCACAACAAACAACAAAAAAAAUUGUUCAACUAGCCGCUAAAACGUGGUAGCCCCAUUUUUUCAAUCAAUAGCAAACCAAUCGCAUAUAUAUUUAAACUUCAAUAAAAUGCGGUAGCUCCAUCUUAUGCCAUCACGUGGUAGCUCCAUCUUCUUCCAUCAAUAGCUCUAUCUUCUGCCAUCACGCUGUAGCUCUAUCUUCGGCCAUCAAUAGCUCGCAUUGCAAACAAAAUCGCACCUAUAUUUAACCCUCAAUAAAACACCGUAGCUCUAUCUUCUGCCUCCAAUAGCUCCCUCUCAAAACCAAAUGACACAUAUAUUUAAAUCCCACGA